AUGUGGAGUUAAUCAAAAUUAGAUUUUCUAUUUUAUGAUUUACUAUGAUUUUUCAAAGAUUCAGCCAAAUAAAUAAAAACAAUAAAGACAAAACCUUUAUAGCAAAAACUUUAUACUAAAUCAUACUAUAUUAUAUGUUUACUGUAUAGAUCUACUUAUGUGGAGACAAAAAAAUAGAUUUUCUAUUUUAUGAUUUUUCUGUGAUUUACUAUGAUUUUUCAAAGAUUCAGAUAAAAAAAUUUAAAAAUAAAAAGACAAAACCACCUUCACUGUAGCAAAACCGCCUUCGAAACCGCUCC
This 299-nucleotide long non-coding RNA is filed under the name Sorghum bicolor (sorghum). RNAcentral's name for it is "long non-coding RNA (SBIC_LNC008083)". The record is from RNAcentral. Lineage: Eukaryota; Viridiplantae; Streptophyta; Magnoliopsida; Poales; Poaceae.